Molecule: unclassified non-coding RNA, 244 nt
Filed under: plant metagenome
Description: partial contains small subunit ribosomal RNA, internal transcribed spacer 1, and 5.8S ribosomal RNA
Source: RNAcentral
UCUCCGUUGGUGAAACAGCGGAGGGAUCAUUACCGAGUUUACAACUCCCAAACCCAAUGUGAACCAUACCAAACUGUUGCCUCGGCGGGGUCACGCCCCGGGUGCGUCGCAGCCCCGGAACCAGGCGCCCGCCGGAGGGACCAACCAAACUCUUUCUGUAGUCCCCUCGCGGACGUUAUUUUUACAGCUCUGAGCAAAAAUUCAAAAUGAAUCAAAACUUUCAACAACGGAUCUCUUGGUUCUG